RNAcentral lists this long non-coding RNA (419 nucleotides) under Mytilus galloprovincialis (Mediterranean mussel). The record is from RNAcentral. Lineage: Eukaryota; Metazoa; Mollusca; Bivalvia; Mytilida; Mytilidae.
CCAAGUGGUCUUAGUUGUUCAACUACUGUAAUCACCAGCCAGUCCAUAAAGAGGUUGUGAAUUUGAACCCUGCUCAUGCUGGUGCAAUCAACUCUAAUGUAAAUUAACAAUGAUUGUCGUUUUUCCUAUUGAAAAUCAGUGGUUUUUUCGGGGGAAUCUGGCUUCCUCUUCCAAUAAAAACUGACCGCAUAAAAUUGCACAAUAGUGUUGACAGUAGCUUUAAACACCAAUUAAACAGUGAAUUUUUAGUUGCCAGUGCUCAUCUUGCAUUUGUUAAGCCUUGGUGUUCGAGUGGUCUUCUUAUCGCAAUAAAAAUAAGGAAAUGUGGUAUGAUUGUUUAUGAGACAAAUAUCCACCAGAGACCUAAAUGAAGUGGAUGUAAGUAACUAUAGGCUGUCAACAAUAAGUGGUGCCAAGCC